UACACAAUGUGGCUACUGCUGAAC
Molecule: non-coding RNA, 24 nt
Filed under: Mus musculus (house mouse)
Lineage: Eukaryota; Metazoa; Chordata; Mammalia; Rodentia; Muridae
Source: RNAcentral